GGAAAGGCUAGAAAUACUUUUUAGAGUAUCUGUCAAACGUACUUUAAAUCAAUAAAAUCUAUGUUCAGCUUACUAAUAAUUUUUUUUUUUUUUGAUAGGAAACGACAAUGGAAUAUAUUACUAAAAAGAAGGUACAAUUAGAAGGAUGAGGAAUCCUCCCACCAAAGAGAAACAAGACUACAAGUAAUCAAAUAUAAGAAAUACAAAGAGAGAAUAAGCAAACGCUCUAUUUACACACCGCUAACCAAUCAAGUUGUAACACGUUAAGAGGUAUCCCCUUAAAAACCUUAGAACAAAAAGCCCA
RNAcentral lists this long non-coding RNA (304 nucleotides) under Vitis vinifera (wine grape). Its description in RNAcentral is "long non-coding RNA (VVIN_LNC007388)". The record is from RNAcentral. Lineage: Eukaryota; Viridiplantae; Streptophyta; Magnoliopsida; Vitales; Vitaceae.